CCUACGGGAGGCAGCAGUGAGGAAUAUUGGUCAAUGGACGAGAGUCUGAACCAGCCAAGUCGCGUGAAGGAUGACUGCCCUAUGGGUUGUAAACUUCUUUUAUAUGGGAAUAAAAUGUUCCACGUGUGGGAUUUUGUAUGUACCAUAUGAAUAAGGAUCGGCUAACUCCGUGCCAGCAGCCGCGGUAAUACGGAGGAUCCGAGCGUUAUCCGGAUUUAUUGGGUUUAAAGGGGGCGUAGGUGGAUUGUUAAGUCAGUUGUGAAAGUUUGCGGCUCAACCGUAAAAUUGCAGUUGAAACUGGCAGUCUUGAGUACAGUAGAGGUAGGCGGAAUUCGUGGUGUAGCGGUGAAAUGCUUAGAUAUCACGCAGAACUCCGAUUGCGAAGGCAGUUCACUGGACUGCAACUGACACUGAGGCUCGAAAGUGUGGGUAUCAAACAGGAUUAGAUACCCGAGUAGUC
Molecule: ribosomal RNA, 460 nt
Filed under: uncultured bacterium
Lineage: Bacteria
Description: partial 16S ribosomal RNA
Rfam family: Bacterial small subunit ribosomal RNA
Source: RNAcentral